UUUGGUUUUGGAAAGUUUUUUCGGUUGGGGAUGGGCUCGCGGCCUUAUCAGUUUGUUGGUGAGGUAAUGGCUCACCAAGACGACGACGGGUAGCCGGCCUGAGAGGGCGACCGGCCACACUGGGACUGAGACACGGCCCAGACUCCUACGGGAGGCAGCAGUGGGGAAUAUUGCACAAUGGGGGAAACCCUGAUGCAGCGACGCAGCGUGCGGGAUGACGGCCUUCGGGUUGUAAACCGCUUUCAGCAGGGAAGAAGCCUUUAUCGGUGACGGUACCUGCAGAAGAAGUACCGGCUAACUACGUGCCAGCAGCCGCGGUAAUACGUAGGGUACAAGCGUUGUCCGGAAUUAUUGGGCGUAAAGAGCUCGUAGGUGGUUGGUCACGUCUGCUGUGGAAACGCAACGCUUAACGUUGCGCGUGCAGUGGGUACGGGCUGACUAGAGUGCAGUAGGGGAGUCUGGAAUUCCUGGUGUAGCGGUGAAAUGCGCAGAUAUCAGGAGGAACACCGGUGGCGAAGGCGGGACUCUGGGCUGUAACUGACACUGAGGAGCGAAAGCAUGGGGAGCGAACAGGAUUAGAUACCCUGGUAGUCCAUGCCGUAAACGUUGGGCACUAGGUGUGGGGGACAUUCCACGUUCUCCGCGCCGUAGCUAACGCAUUAAGUGCCCCGCCUGGGGAGUACGGUCGCAAGGCUAAAACUCAAAGGAAUUGACGGGGGCCCGCACAAGCGGCGGAGCAUGCGGAUUAAUUCGAUGCAACGCGAAGAACCUUACCAAGGCUUGACAUACACCAGACCGUUCUGGAAACAGUUCCUCCCCUUUGGGGUCGGUGUACAGGUGGUGCAUGGUUGUCGUCAGCUCGUGUCGUGAGAUGUUGGGUUAAGUCCCGCAACGAGCGCAACCCUCGUUCUAUGUUGCCAGCACGUGAUGGUGGGAACUCAUAGGAGACUGCCGGGGUCAACUCGGAGGAAGGUGGGGAUGACGUCAAAUCAUCAUGCCCUUUAUGUCUUGGGCUUCACGCAUGCUACAAUGGCUGGUACAGAGAGAUGCGAGACCGCGAGGUUUUAGCGAAUCCCUUAAAGCCAGUCUCAGUUCGGAUCGUAGUCUGCAAUUCGACUACGUGAAGUCGGAGUCGCUAGUAAUCGCAGAUCAG
RNAcentral lists this ribosomal RNA (1153 nucleotides) under uncultured bacterium. RNAcentral describes it as "bacterial SSU rRNA". It matches the Rfam family "Bacterial small subunit ribosomal RNA", at positions 192 to 1352 of the family's 1533-position model. The record is from RNAcentral.